GCUCGGUUACCAAGGAGACAGCGCUCCGCGCCUAACCCGGCGCUGCCCUGCUUCCCUUGCUCAGCGCGCUGGAGAGGUCUAAGCUUCUGCUCCAAACCCAGGCCUGCUUUCCGGUCUCGAAACUCGCAGAAACGUCUGGGCCAGCGUCCGGCUAGGAAGUUUCAUGGCUGCGUCGGGGCCGCCUGUCCCGGAUGAAGCUGCAGUUCCCCAACGGGAGCUCUACAUAUCGGACUUCCAAUCCCGCACUCCAGAACAUGGGCCUGGGCGAGCUCAUGGUGGCUGCUAAGAUGAAGAGAUGAGACGUGGGGCUCCCAGAGCAGCCCCAGUGGGCUCACUCGAGCUGCCCCAGAGAGCCCUAAGCGGCCUGACCGAGCGCCCUUUUGCGUGCAGAAGGCAAGGGACGGCUGCAAGUGGAGGUGACCCGAUGACUACCCCACCCUCUAAAAGCAGCGGAGAGGCCAAGGUCGAGUCAGUAGCACAGGGAGUGCGGAGAAGCACGGGCAAAGGCUCUGUGACCUAGGGGAACUCUUUGGACCACACCCUCAGGGUCCUUGGAAGCAGAAAGGACCAGCUUGAGGCUAGGUUAUAGCAAGUUUUUCGGGGAACGGGGGUGAGGAACAGGGUAAAAGCUACUUCUGAGAUCUGUGUUUCUCAGUUACACUUUGGGGCUGUGACAUGGACUGGCUUGGGCAACUUUUGUGGUCCCCAGUAAUCUCUAUUGACCUCACUUGAAUCUAAGCAGAAAGUGUACGUGAUACGCAAACACAGCUUCAGGGAAAGUUUCCCAGGCCACUUCUUUCUGAAGUCCAUGGCUCCUUAGCCCCUGCCACAGAAGUUUCACACGUAGUCUCAUCUACUUUGUUCACCAGAUCUGACACUGGGACAUCUCUGGCUCUUCCCUAAAGUCACAAUGACCAUAGCAGAGUUGUUGGCUGUCGUCUUGCAGCCUGGGCCGAGUCCAGUCCCUAGCACCCAGCCUCCUGGACUUUGGGAAUGUUUUGGGAGUGUUCCAAGGCUGGCAAAGGAACGAGUCCUAAUGCUGCAAUGUGCUAUGCGGUGAUGGCCUUCAGCAUCCCCUUCAUACAGGCACUUGGGAAGAUGCCGUGAUUCAAUUGCCAGAGGUUUCAGUGUGAACAGGCCUUAUUUGCAGAAAAUAAUGGAAAGAAUGGGUGACUCUUCUAUCUCUGAAUAUUGAGUGAGGUAAAUUUCCAGAUGCUGUUCUCUAUUUUUAUGUUAUUGGACCAAUGCUCUGUAUAAAUAAUUCAGAUGUAAGCAUUUCACAUCAAAAGAAUUCAUUAGUCUUUAACAAUUAACCUCAGUACUGUCACUACAAUAUUACAUUCUGCAGAUGUCAUUGUGUUGUAUCAGAUACCAAAAGUAAGGUAUCUUCAUGUCACAUAGUGAAAA
Long non-coding RNA from Chinchilla lanigera (long-tailed chinchilla), 1407 nucleotides. RefSeq lists it as uncharacterized. The transcript has 3 exons. Lineage: Eukaryota; Metazoa; Chordata; Mammalia; Rodentia; Chinchillidae. The record is from RefSeq and is a predicted model, not a curated record.